This 2635-nucleotide ribosomal RNA is filed under the name soil metagenome. Its description in RNAcentral is "bacterial LSU rRNA". It matches the Rfam family "Bacterial large subunit ribosomal RNA", at positions 3 to 2568 of the family's 2925-position model. The record is from RNAcentral.
CCAAGCUACUAAGGGUGAACGGUGGAUGCCUUGGCGCUAAGCGGCGAUGAAGGACGCGGCAAGCUGCGAUAAGCCACGGGGAGCGGCAAACACGCUUUGAUCCGUGGAUCUCCGAAUGGGGAAACCCAGCGGGAGUCAUGUCCCGCUACGGCGAUCUGAAUACAUAGGGUCGUCGAGCAAACUCCGGGAAGUGAACCAUCUCAGUACCGGAAGGAAAAGAAAGCAAUUGCGAUUCCGUCAGUAGCGGCGAGCGAACGCGGAACAGCCCAAACUCGAGAGCCUCCGGGCUCUCGGGGGUUGUGGGGCGGAGUCCGGAUCAGAUCCGGAGAGUUACCAAAUGCGCACCUAGAAGAACGGCUUUGGAAUAGCCGGCCAAAGAGGGUGAUAGCCCCGUAUUCGAAAGGUGUCGCGUCUCUCGACUCCGUUCCCGAGUACCACGAGGCACGAGAAACCUCGUGGGAAUCCGGGAGGACCAUCUCCCAAGGCUCAAUACGUCUUAGCGACCGAUAGUGAACUAGUACCGUGAGGGAAAGGUGAAAAGAACCCCUGUUAGGGGAGUGAAAUAGUACCUGAAAUUGUGUGCUUACAAACUAUGGUAGUCCUCGACGCGCAAGCGUCGCAGGAUGGCCGUUUGCCUUUUGCAUAAUGAGUCCGCGAGUUACGGUAGGCAGCCAGGUUAACCCCGAUAAAUCGGGGGGAGCCGCAGCGAAAGCGAGUGUGAAUAGCGCGAAUCAGUUGCCUGCUGUAGACCCGAAACCGGGUGAGCUACCCAUGGUCAGGCCGAAUCCUCAGUAACAUGAGGUGGAGGGCCGAACUAGUGACCGUUGAAAAGGUCUUGGAUGAACUGUGGGUAGGAGCGAAAGACUUAUCAAACUCGGUGAUAGCUGGUUCUCUUCGAAAUAGCUUUAGGGCUAGCCUGCAUCAAUGCUCGAAGUGGUGGUAGAGCACUGAAUGGUAUAGGGUCCUUACCGGGAUACCAAAGCCAAUCAAACUCCGAAUACUACUUCAGUCAGAUGUGGAGUCAGACUCUGGGGGAUAAGCUUCAGAGUCGAAAGGAAAACAGUCCAGCCCGCCGGCUAAGGCCCCAAAAGUUGGUUAAGUGACUAAGGAUGUAAGAUUGCAAAGACAGCGAGGAUGUUGGCUUAGAGGCAGCCAUCAUUUAAACAGUGCGUAAUAGCUGACUCGUCGAGUGAUCUUGCGCCGAAAAUGAUCGGGACUAAAUCAACUGCCGAAGCCGCGGAUGCCAUCCCGUUUAGGCGGGAUGGCGUGGUAGAAGAGCGUUCCAUUUGGAGUGAAGCGGGAGGGGAACCGACCGUGGACCGGAUGGAAGUGAUUAUGCGGACAUGAGUAACGAAAAGUCCGAUGGAAAUUCGGACCGCCGUAAUCCUGAGAUUUCCUGGGGAAGGUUCGUCCACCCAGGGUUAGCCGGCCCCUUAGCCAAGGCCGAAAGGCGUAGGUGAUGGGAAACAGGUUCAAUAUUCCUGUGCCGCCGGUCUGACGUUUGAGCGAGGGAGUGACGCAGUAGGCUAAAUCAGCCAUCGACUGGAAGUGAUGGCCGAAACCUUUAGAGGGCCCUGGUCGGCAAAUCUGCCGGGGCAUUAACCUUGAGAGGCGUAAGGACGCUGAGUAGCGAUACAAGGCGGAUUGAUUGAUGUCACACUGACAAGAAAUAGCUUCUAAGCGAGUCAGGCAGGCGACCGUAUUCAAACCGACACAGGUGGGAUGGUAGAAUAUACCAAGGCGCGCGAGAUAAACCUCGUUAAGGAACUCGGCAAAUUAGCCCCGUAACUUCGGAAGAAGGGGUCCUUUCCAGUGUAAUCGCAAGAAAGCAUAGGGAAGGCGCAGUGAAAUGGCCCAGGCGACUGUUUAACAAAAACACAGCACUCUGCGAACUCGUAAGAGGAUGUAUAGGGUGUGACACGUGACCAAUGCCGAAAGGUUAAGGCAAGGGGUUAGCCGCAAGGCAAAGCUCUGAACUGAAGCCCCGGUGAAUGUCGGCCGUAACUAUAACGGUCCUAAGGUAGCGAAAUUCCUUGGCGGGUAAGUUCCGUCCUGCACGAAUCGUGUAACGAUCUGGGCACUGUCUCAACGAGGAUCUCGGUGAAGUUGUACUUCCGGUGAAAAUGCCGGAUACCCGCAGUAGGACGGAAAGACCCCGUGAACCUUUACUGUAUUCUGAUAUUGGAUCUCGGUUUUUCAUAUGUAGCAUAGCUGGGAGACGGCGAAGUUCCGGCGCUAGCCGGAAUGGAGUCAACAGUGAAAUACCAGUUUUGAAUAAUUAAGAUUCUAACCCCUUUCCCGUGAAUCCGGGAGGGGAACAGUGUUAGAUGGUCAGUUUGACUGGGGCGGUUUCCUCCCAAAUGGUAACGGAGGAGUUCGAAGGUUCUCUCAUCAUGGUUGGCAAUCAUGAGUAGAGCGUAAGGGUAGAAGAGAGCUUAACUGCGAGACCUACAAGUCGAGCAGGUGCGAAAGCAGGACCUAGUGACCCGGUGGUUGCUUGUGGUAGCGCCAUCGCUCAUCGGACAAAAGGUACUCCGGGGAUAACAGGCUGAUCGCUGCCAAGAGUUCACAUCGACGCAGCGGUUUGGCACCUCGAUGUCGGCUCAUCGCAUCCUGGAGCUGUAGAAGGUUCCAA